UCGACCGGAGUUGGAGGGAAAUUCCUCUCCGUCUUUUUCAUAAUUUUCGGGACUCUUUCGGCGCUUUCAAAUGCUUAUACUGUCAUAGACACCUCGCCUACCGCGGAUCUGACGUUACGUUUAUCAGUUAUUUACGUCGGAUACAAGUGCAGGUAGUUUUGGCACCGUUUGUCAGAAUGGCUGGGGUAGCUCCUACUUCUUCAACAACAACAACAACAACAACAACAGAGUUGUUGCCAGGAUGUUGGGAUAUAAAACGUGUACCAAAGUAUAUAACAGAGGCAGUGGCACUGGAAGUAUUCUUCUGAACAACGUGAGAUGCAAUGGACAUGAAAGCUCCCUCUGGGACUGUCCUCACAAUGGGGUCCGUGUGCACAACUGUUACGACUCCCGUACCGCUGAACAUCCUGUGGCCAAAAGAGGUGCAUCUGCUGCCACCAUGAAACUCAAGCAGUUUAUGGCCAAUACAUUACCACGUGCCAGAUGAAAAUCGAAACGCAAACAGCAGUCUUUAUCUUCUGCCCAUGAGCUGACACAAGUGCAACACACGGCAGACCAACAUAACAUACAGCAAAACGGACCACAGGUGGCGGUAUCGGUACACAUCAAUAAAUAUGUUGCAGGAAGUGAACUUGAUAACAAGGACGUGGUGCGCAAUUACAGCGAUCCACUUUUUGUAAAUUUAAACUUCGGUGAACGCCAGAGGGAAUUGCGCAUGCUAUAAGCAUGUGAUCAUAGACGGGCACAAUUUCCCGCCAUUGCACGACAAAAACGCAGAAAACUGUCCUGCGGACUUUGAUCUUACUUCCAGUUGGACAGAUAACAAUUACAAUACACUUCCCAGAGUUAGACCAAGAAUUAAAAGACGAACCCUUGGUUACCGUCUCCUAGGUCAUCGCCCAGUACAUCACCAGGGUCAACGCGCACGACGUCAUCCACUGUCUCAUUUCCGGCCGACGGCAGCCAAGCAGCACUGGAAGAUUCUGCACUGGAAGAGCCAAGCUCAACUUCGGGUGAGUGUAACGAGGAAUCCAAAGAGCUAUCUAAAACGAAGGAUUAUUUCCCCACAGAUCAUCUUUGUGGUGAAAUGCCGUCGCUUGACAGCUCAAUUGACGUCGAUGACCUCUGAUAGCGGGCGGUUCUCUAUGACUGGAAGUGGUGUGAGUUCUUUGGUCAGUUCCAUCAUGUCUGAUGGCUGUGAGCCAGUGACCAGUCAAGCACCAGCAUUACCACCUUCAGACGUGAAGCCCCUAGAGGCAAUAUGUUUGUCAGAUGCCGUACAAACACCAGAUAUAAUCUGUGAUACAAAUGAAAGUCGCCUAUCAGCUUUAUCUCACCAGACAUAUACAUUCGCACUGAAGCAGGACAGAGCGUACAAGAAGAAGUAGAAGAAGAACCAGAUCUCCUGAUUCAGUCUCAAGGUCUCAUUCCCAAUGAUGAUGAAGAAGAUAUAAACUAUGAGGAAUUGUUUGAAAAGAACAUCGAAUUGGUGACCUCGGAGAGCGGCUUUUCUUUCGACCAGUGUCUCAUAGAUGAAGAGGGCAGUCUAAGUGACGACUUCCUGGAGUCAGGAGUGGACAUUUUUGCUGAUGAGUGUACAGAUGAGUUUCUCUUUCAAACGGCAACAGGCCGUGAUUUUGAAGAUAAAACUGACAGGUUUGAGACCUGUGAUAACCAACAAGAGGAACAUGGUGCUGUAAACGUGCAGGAAGGCCAACUGCUGGGAUGCAUGGGAGUUACUACGAUCAACUUGUUGAGGAUAUCUGCAAAGACGCCAUUGCAGCUGCUAAAAUCGAAAUCAAGACUGAAAUCGAUUAUCCAUCGAAAUUAAAUCCUUCAGAUGACUGUUGUAUUAAUGAACCCGCUUCGGGUCGAGAUAAAUAUACUGCGUCGCUGGUGAAUAAGAGUAAAAGUUUUCGUACUGAUACAGAGCCUACAAGAAAAAGUGAGGCGUUUGAAGGCCGGUAGACGCAUCAUUGAAGAGAAAAUAAGAGAGGCUCAGGAAGAGGAGCAGCUUCGUCUUGGACAGCGCAUCCGCUUCCAGAGGCAAAUCACACUCCACCGGAAAGAGAUGUUGCUUAAAACUCUGGGAUAUUUACGGGAAAAGUUGGCAGACCAAUGUACACGCCUGCAAGCCAGCUAUAAUAACGUGCUAGAGAUGCAGAGAAAUAUCUUUCGACAGCAUUCUCGUGGCGACUUAAUGCUAAGCGGGUCAACAUUUGAGCUCACUGUGUGAACUAUCCAAGUUCAAAAACCAAAUGUACAAAACGAAACGCUUGGGCGCCCAGAAGGCAAGCUAAAGAGUGCAAUGUAAUGAAAAGAAAUCAAAAAAGGAAAUCGUGAUGAGAAUAUUCUAACACAAGUCGUGUUACUUUAUACUUGAGCUGAAUCACGUAACGAGGGUACAUAAAUUGGUAAUAUAUGUAUAUUGAACAUCACGCUAGUAUGUGCUAUGUGAAUAACAAUUUUUUGUCAAUUUACAUGAGUAUGUGAAGUAGGUUAAUACAUUCAUAUAUGUUGGCUUUUCAAAACGUACCAGAAUAAUACUGUGCAGAACAUUGAUUACUUGAAAAUGUAAACUUGAUGCUUGGCAUGUUCAUCACGGUCAUGUUGAUAUCAAACAAAACAAGGAAUUUGUUUGUCUAAGAUCGAUGUGCUGAUAUGUAAUAUUGAGUAUUCACAUGUAAAUUAUUGUAGGUGUGAAGAUACCGUAGUGCAAUUUAAUUCAUUAUAAAGGAGAUCGGUAAAUCAUUAUUUUCAUCAUAUGAGUCUAACACAAUGUAAAGCAUUUUUAAAAUGCGACUAUGUAGUGACUGAAUGUGGGAUGCUGCCGGUUUAUUAAUGUUAAGCUUUUAAUAUUCCAUACUGAUAUCUCUAUAGUGCUUCACAUAUGCAAGAACAUGUACAUGUACAAUGCAAAUUACGUUACGUGUUACCAUAUCAGAAGUUCAUUGAAAAUGACACGGCUUUCACGACAAUCUUCAACUUCAGAGACAUCUAGGGGAAUAAGUUGAAGACCAAAGAAACUUGAUGCCCAUUGUUUAUGCAGGUUCUAGCCUGCAGCUAAUUAGAUAUUAUUUUAAUGAGUACUGAUAUCACCGCCUGUUGGCAAAAUAUUAUGUAUUCUGAGACUACAGAUCUACAAGCCCACAUGUGCAUGAUGUCUUUCAGAAAGUAGGUUGUGGUAUUUGAAGUAUUUAAUUAUUAUAGUUAUUUUGUUGCUUUUCCCGUCUUUUAAUUUUCUGUGAUAUUUGGAUACAUUUGUGGUCUGGAACUGUGUUAGAGGUAUGUCAUAUACACCAUAUCCACUUCAAAGCCGUGUGGACUGUAUAAUGUAUCCAAGGUGCCAAACGUAGGAAUUCUCCGAGAAAACUAACACUUAUGAAGAAUUUCUCUUUAGACUACCUGGGGUAAACGACAUUUGUCUAAUCAACAUUUGAUCCACCUUUCACGACAGUUGCCAUAAAUGUGCUACAAUCUUGGAAAUAAGCAAUUCUUUUAUAGCGUGGUCGGGUUUUUCAAUGGCCGUCAUCACUUUAAGCACUAAGUUACUGGUUGAGCGUGAAUCAAAACUGUGUCAAGAUGUUAAACAGGUGGCAAGGUUUGAUAUAUCAAAUAAUUUUGGCAACAUUUAAUGAUGGCAUUUACCUGUAAAAAAGACCAUAAAGCUGUUCUUAGAUAUUUUUAACAAGAAGUGAUUUAUGUACUUGUAAGUAAA
RNAcentral lists this long non-coding RNA (3718 nucleotides) under Lingula anatina. Its description in RNAcentral is "uncharacterized LOC106171622". The record is from RNAcentral. Lineage: Eukaryota; Metazoa; Brachiopoda; Lingulata; Lingulida; Lingulidae.